CACAUGUUGUGUCAACAAGGCGCCCAUUGGGCUUAAAAGGGAAUCCCGUGCAAAUCGGGAACGGUCCCGCCACUGUAAUUUCCACCUGCUUCCUCCGGGAAGCGGGAAAGUCGGUUCUCAGGCCACUGCCCCUGUUAUGGGGUGGGAAGGCGAACCGAUUUUGGGAAAAGUCAGGAGACCUGCCUUGUUGAUUUUUUUGCU
RNAcentral lists this non-coding RNA (201 nucleotides) under Desulfuromonadaceae bacterium. Lineage: Bacteria; Pseudomonadati; Thermodesulfobacteriota; Desulfuromonadia; Desulfuromonadales; Desulfuromonadaceae. The record is from RNAcentral.